CUACCCUUGACAUGGACGGAAUCCUGGUGAGAGCCGGGGGUGCCCGAAAGGGAGCCGUCACACAGGUGCUGCAUGGCUGUCGUCAGCUCGUGUCGUGAGAUGUUGGGUUAAGUCCCGCAACGAGCGCAACCCUUGUCCCUAGUUGCUACGCAAGAGCACUCCAGGGAGACUGCCGGUGACAAACCGGAGGAAGGUGGGGAUGACGUCAAGUCCUCAUGGCCCUUAUGGGUAGGGCUUCACACGUCAUACAAUGGUCGGAACAGAGGGUCGCCAACCCGCGAGGGGGAGCCAAUCCCGGAAAACCGAUCGUAGUCCGGAUCGCAGUCUGCAACUCGACUGCGUGAAGCUGGAAUCGCUAGUAAUCGCGGAUCAGCAUGCCGCGGUGAAUACGUUCCC
RNAcentral lists this ribosomal RNA (396 nucleotides) under uncultured bacterium. RNAcentral describes it as "bacterial SSU rRNA". It matches the Rfam family "Bacterial small subunit ribosomal RNA", at positions 975 to 1375 of the family's 1533-position model. The record is from RNAcentral.